CCAGACUCCUACGGGAGGCAGCAGUGAGGAAUAUUGGUCAAUGGCCGAGAGGCUGAACCAGCCAAGUCGCGUGAGGGAUGACGGUCCUAUGGAUUGUAAACCUCUUUUGUCAGGGAGCAAAGGGCGCCACGUGUGGCGCUUUGCGAGUACCUGAAGAAAAAGCAUCGGCUAACUCCGUGCCAGCAGCCGCGGUAAUACGGAGGAUGCGAGCGUUAUCCGGAUUUAUUGGGUUUAAAGGGUGCGCAGGCGGAAUGUCAAGUCAGCGGUAAAAUUUCGGGGCUCAACCCCGUCGUGCCGUUGAAACUGGUGUUCUUGAGUGAGCGAGAAGUAUGCGGAAUGCGUGGUGUAGCGGUGAAAUGCAUAGAUAUCACGCAGAACUCCGAUUGCGAAGGCAGCAUACCGGCGCUCAACUGACGCUCAUGCACGAAAGCGUGGGUAUCGAACAGGAUUAGAUACCCGGGUA
Molecule: ribosomal RNA, 463 nt
Filed under: uncultured bacterium
Lineage: Bacteria
Description: bacterial SSU rRNA
Rfam family: Bacterial small subunit ribosomal RNA
Source: RNAcentral